Molecule: ribosomal RNA, 2483 nt
Filed under: Drosophila suzukii
Lineage: Eukaryota; Metazoa; Arthropoda; Insecta; Diptera; Drosophilidae
Description: eukaryotic LSU rRNA
Rfam family: Eukaryotic large subunit ribosomal RNA (bases 1-2128)
Source: RNAcentral
AAAUUUGAAUCGAGCUGAAAAGGCUACUUGGCCUUAACAAAAACUGGGUGAGUGUAUUUUUGAGUCCUAUUUUUAACACCACCAAAGAGAUGUCGGAGGGGGUUGACUCGAUGAGCGAGGGCGAGAUGCGCGCCAAUGGGAAGCGCAGCCAAGCUAAGGAGCGAGAGAACCCGAAAGCUAAGUUGAUUGCGCUCGACGCGGAAUCGUGGGCCAAUAUUGUUGACACGGACAAGGACUGGGACGUGCCAGAAGAGGAUCGCCCCUCAUCAUCUGCAUCGUCCGCGAAGGGGGCUAAGGCGAAAAAUGUUGCACCCGGAGAAAAGAAGCGCUCAAAAGGACGUUCUAGGGCGUCAUCGAAGGAGGCAUCGCGCGCUAAAGAGGUGCAGACUAUCAAGACCGCCGCUGCCGCAGCCGCUGCCCCCGCCGCUGUGCAAAUCGAUUGUCAGAAUUGAGUAUAGGGGCGAAAGACCAAUCGAACCAUCUAGUAGCUGGUUCCUUCCGAAGUUUCCCUCAGGAUAGCUGGUGCAUUUUAAUGUUAUAUAAAAUAAUCUUAUCUGGUAAAGCGAAUGAUUAGAGGCCUUAGGGUCGAAACGAUCUUAACCUAUUCUCAAACUUUAAAUGGGUAAGAACCUUAACUUUCUUGAUAUGAAGUUCAAGGUUAUGAUAUAAUGUGCCCAGUGGGCCACUUUUGGUAAGCAGAGCUGGCGCUGUGGGAUGAACCAAACGUAAUGUUACGGUGCCCAAAUUAACAACUCAUGCAGAUACCAUGAAAGGCGUUGGUUGCUUAAAACAGCAGGACGGUGAUCAUGGAAGUCGAAAUCCGCUAAGGAGUGUGUAACAACUCACCUGCCGAAGCAACUAGCCCUUAAAAUGGAUGGCGCUUAAGUUGUAUACCUAUACAUUACCGCUAAAGUAGAUGAUUUAUAUUACUUGUGAUAUAAAUUUUGAAACUUUAGUGAGUAGGAAGGUACAAUGGUAUGCGUAGAAGUGUUUGGCGCAAGCCUGCAUGGAGCUGCCAUUGGUACAGAUCUUGGUGGUAGUAGCAAAUAAUCGAAUGAGACCUUGGAGGACUGAAGUGGAGAAGGGUUUCGUGUGAACAGUGGUUGAUCACGAGUUAGUCGGUCCUAAGUUCAAGGCGAAAGCCGAAAAUUUUCAAGUAAAACACAAAUGCCAUACAAAUAUAUUAUAUUAUAUAAAUCAAGCUAAUUAAUAUACUUGAAUAAUUUUGAACGAAAGGGAAUACGGUUCCAAUUCCGUAACCUGUUGAGUAUCCGUUUGUUAUUAAAUAUGGGCCUCGUGCUCAUCCUGGCAACAGGAACGACCAUAAAGAAGCCGUCGAGAGAUAUCGGAAGAGUUUUCUUUUCUGUUUUAUAGCCGUACUACCAUGGAAGUCUUUCGCAGAGAGAUAUGGUAGAUGGGCUAGAAGAGCAUGACAUAUACUGUUGUGUCGAUAUUUUCUCCUCGGACCUUGAAAAUUUAUGGUGGGGACACGCAAACUUCUCAACAGGCCGUACCAAUAUCCGCAGCUGGUCUCCAAGGUGAAGAGUCUCUAGUCGAUAGAAUAAUGUAGGUAAGGGAAGUCGGCAAAUUAGAUCCGUAACUUCGGGAUAAGGAUUGGCUCUGAAGAUUGAGAUAGUCGGGCUUGAUUGGGAAACAAUAACAUGGUUUAUGUGCUCGUUCUGGGUAAAUAGAGUGUCUGGCAUUUAUGUUGGUCACUUGUUCCCCGGAUAGUUUAGUUACGUAGCCAAUUGUGGAACUUUCUUGCUAAAAUUUUUAAGAAUACUAAUUGGGUUAAACCAAUUAGUUCUUAUUAAUUAUAACGAUUAUCAAUUAACAAUCAAUUCAGAACUGGCACGGACUUGGGGAAUCCGACUGUCUAAUUAAAACAAAGCAUUGUGAUGGCCCUAGCGGGUGUUGACACAAUGUGAUUUCUGCCCAGUGCUCUGAAUGUCAAAGUGAAGAAAUUCAAGUAAGCGCGGGUCAACGGCGGGAGUAACUAUGACUCUCUUAAGGUAGCCAAAUGCCUCGUCAUCUAAUUAGUGACGCGCAUGAAUGGAUUAACGAGAUUCCUACUGUCCCUAUCUACUAGUGAUAUCGACGUGACCUUCGCCAACGAAGCAGCGCGAGUAUGGGCAACAUACGAUUGGAGAGUUGACUUCUGGGAGCUGAGUGACCACAACAUCAUUACUGUUGAGGUUACUCCAGAUCCGAGCAGUACCGUUGAGAGCCUAGCUCCGGUACCGCAAUGGAAGCUCUCCAAUGCAAGUUGGCGAAGAUUCAGUGUAGAGUUAAGGAGUGCAGCACAAAGCCUUGAGGAACUGGAGGAAUCGCCGUUGGACGACCAUGUGUCUGCCCUUCGCUCCAUCGUACAUGAAGUGUGCGACAGGGUGAUAGGGCGCAGGAUACCUGCAGCAAGGGGAAACGUAAUAUGGUGGAAUCCUGAGCUGAGUACCAAGCGCCAAGAGGUCCGGAGACUGAGGCGU